RNAcentral lists this ribosomal RNA (428 nucleotides) under uncultured bacterium. RNAcentral describes it as "bacterial SSU rRNA". It matches the Rfam family "Bacterial small subunit ribosomal RNA", at positions 28 to 452 of the family's 1533-position model. The record is from RNAcentral.
GAUGAACGCUAGCGGCAGGCUUAAUACAUGCAAGUCGAGGGGCAGCGCGGGUAGCAAUACCUGGCGGCGACCGGCAAACGGGUGCGGAACACGUACAGAACCUUCCUUUAAGCGGGGGAUAGCCCAUAGAAAUGUGGAUUAAUACCCCAUAGUAAUAUUUAAUGGCAUCAUUAGAUAUUUAAAGAUUUAUCACUUAAAGAUGGCUGUGCGGCUGAUUAGGUAGUUGGUGUGGGAACGGCCCACCAAGCCAGCGAUCAGUAACUGGUGUGAGAGCACGACCAGUCACACGGGCACUGAGACGCGGGCCCGACUCCUACGGGAGCAGCAGUAAGGAAUAUUGGUCAAUGGACGCAAGUCUGAACCAGCCAUGCCGCGUGAAGGAUGAAGGCCCUCUGGGUUGUAAACUUUCUUUUAUCUGGGAAGAAAUG